GCUAUUAGUAUCCGGUUUUUUAUAUCUAUAGUUUCUUUGGGUACUUAUAAUGUAGAAUAAUGAAAAAAAUUUCUCGAACUCAAAUUUUGUGAACCAGGGGGUUGUGUCUUUUCCAACAAAAUUAAAAUGGAUCGCGCACAAAAUUUAAAAGUUGUAGUCAUAUUUUGAGUUAAUAGAUGGAAAAUUUGUUGUAUUUUUAAUUACUGUACAAAAUUUCAGACAAUUUGGUUUAGUUUAAGCCCUUUAACUAUUCAUUUUAUUCUAAAAAAUCAGCCUUUCGCAUGCUUAAUUAAUG
Molecule: non-coding RNA, 295 nt
Organism: Paramuricea clavata
Lineage: Eukaryota; Metazoa; Cnidaria; Anthozoa; Malacalcyonacea; Plexauridae
Source: the annotation of a GenBank genome assembly